Cydia fagiglandana is the source of this 1744-nucleotide long non-coding RNA. RefSeq lists it as uncharacterized. The record is from RefSeq and is a predicted model, not a curated record. The transcript is spliced from 3 exons. NCBI's taxonomy places the organism in Eukaryota, Metazoa, Arthropoda, Insecta, Lepidoptera, Tortricidae.
AACUGCUCGAGCCAUAAGCGUUUGGCAAGGUAACUUAUAAACAAUCAGUGAUGAAGAGUAUAGCUAUAUUGACUGCCACUCUAUGUAACAAUCCUUAUAAAUUUACUUAGGAAAUAUUUAGUGAUUCGGUUGGAAUCAAUGUGUUAAUACUUUAACAGGUCGUGGGGAGAAUCAUUGUGCUCUGCUCACCUGCAAUCUUAACCUGGAGUUCUGGGCAUCCCGGGCCAUGUCGUGAGAAGCAAUUAUAAGGUAAGGAUGACCAUAUUUCUACCGUACAGAUUAAAGCCUCAUUUAUCAUAAUGUUAGAUUUUGUAUGUUCAUAGACAAAGUUACAUAAUAACACCAACAAGCGAAGCAGGUAAUUUGUAAUUACUGAGUUAUAAUUUAUAUUGAACUAAGGCAUAAGCUAUAGUGUUGAAAGAUCUCAUAAAUUCCACUAUUAAUUUUAUCAUAAAUAAAAUGUGUGCCAAAUUCAUCCCCGUUGGUACAUAUUUAUGGUGUAGAUGCGAGGGAUUCAUUAUUUAAGAAGGAGUAAAUAAUAAUAAGAGGUUUCUGUACGGUGAAUGUAGUCAUCCUAUCUUAAAAAAGCAGUAAAAUAUAAAAUUAAAUGAGAAAUUAGGAUCACGGUGGCGACAUCUGUGGAGGAAUAGACUAAACUUGAUUGAUCACUGAAACUAGAAACAGGAUCACGGUGGCGACAUCUGUAGAGGAAUAGACUAAACUUGAUUGAUCACUGAAACUAGCUAUAUUAUGAUAAUAAGGCACGAUUUCAGGAUAAUUUACGUCAGUAAGCAGACGGGCAGCUAUUUUUAAUAAAGAAAUGUUGUUGUAUUUUAUUUCACAAACCCCUUUAGUAUUAAAUACCACAUAAAAUUUAAGUUAGCUUGUUCUAGAACCCGAGAGCAGUUCGGUAAGUGAAAUUUACAGGUAGUUCAUCUAGUGAUUGACAGAUGGCGUUUUUAGCAUAAAAUCUAAAAGUGACAGCUAUUCCACCACAGAUGGCGUGGUGAACUGAUUUUGUACUUGAAUCGGAAUCGUACAAAAAAUUUAUUUGAAUAAUAUUUUCAUAAUUUUGUUAAUUAGUCAUGAAAUUCUUAUGAAUAAUUAAUAGAGAAUAACUUAAAGAGUAAGUCAAAACGGAAACAUAUUGCGAAAUUCAUUAUUCGUUCCACAGACAACAUAACUAUACAUCAUCUAUACAUCAACAACGUAGUGACAUUUUGCAAGUUUGCUACAACCAAGUACGAGUUAAAAAGCCGGCUAUUUUGCGAAUAAACAUUCACAACUAGCUUAAAUAAGGCGAAAUCACAAGAGGAAUUCAGUGAUUUACGAAAGAAAAGUGUUAUUUGAUGGGACGAUCUGUUAGUUCAUCAGGUACUACGUCAAGGUUAUAAGUGGAUAUCACAAGCAACAUAGCUACACUAUUGCUCAAUUGAGAGGAAAACAUAUUGCUCCAUCAUUAAAGGAUAUUUAACAGAGGAAACUAAAGUUCUAUAACGGGCCAGACUCAGUGCACAACAACACUUCCUAAUAAUAAAGAUGGAAGAGAUAUAUUUGACGAGGUUAAACAAAUUUGUGUCGGAAAUAAAGAAUCUAUCCAACAACUCAAGGAUCCUCAUUUUGUUAAAAUCAUGGAACGAUGAAGAAUAUGAACAAGCCAAGAUUGCUUCGGCAAAAUUACAAGCCGUAAUAACAAGAUUUAAUACCGAACUAUAUCAGUACUUUAAAAUAGUAACAAAUCCAA